Molecule: transfer RNA, 129 nt
Filed under: Caudoviricetes sp.
Lineage: Duplodnaviria; Heunggongvirae; Uroviricota; Caudoviricetes
Description: tRNA-Gly
Source: RNAcentral
UAGCUCAGCGGUAGAGCACGAAAAAAAUGCUUUCCGCCCUAUUACUCGGAUUUUUUUGAUUUUGAAUCGAGUUGCCUGGAGAAGUUUCAACAUGGGAAGCGUAUGUCGUUGGUUCAAAUCCAACUUCCC